AUUGAACGCUGGCGGCAGGCCUAACACAUGCCAGUCGAACGGUAACAGGAAGACGCUUGCUUCUUUGCUGACGAGUGGCGGACGGGUGAGUAAUGUCUGGGAAACUGCCUGAUGGAGGGGGAUAACUACUGGAAACGGUAGCUAAUACCGCAUAACGUCGCAAGACCAAAGAGGGGGACCUUCGGGCCUCUUGCCAUCGGAUGUGCCCAGAUGGGAUUAGCUAGUAGGUGGGGUAACGGCUCACCUAGGCGACGAUCCCUAGCUGGUCUGAGAGGAUGACCAGCCACACUGGAACUGAGACACGGUCCAGACUCCUACGGGAGGCAGCAGUGGGGAAUUUUGCACAAUGGGCGCAAGCCUGAUGCAGCCAUGCCGCGUGUAUGAAGAAGGCCUUCGGGUUGGAAAGUACUUUCAGCGGGGAGGAAGGGAGUAAAGUUAAUACCUUUGCUCAUUGACGUUACCCGCAGAAGAAGCACCGGCUAACUCCGUG
This 490-nucleotide ribosomal RNA is filed under the name uncultured bacterium. RNAcentral's name for it is "partial 16S ribosomal RNA". It matches the Rfam family "Bacterial small subunit ribosomal RNA", at positions 30 to 507 of the family's 1533-position model. The record is from RNAcentral.